AACAAACAGUUGAUUCGCGUAUUUGAGGAGUUCGUUUUAUUGUAUCUGGAUGACUAAAACCAUACCAACGCAGUGGUAAUAUUCCCCAAGACAAACCCCGAUAGGCAUGUUACAGUCGCUAUGUGAAGGUCCAUAUUCUCGUAAAACGGUUGUACCUUCAUACUUACUUCUCUUACGAAAAAAUGGAUCCUUUUCAUUCUCCAGAAAUCAACAAGCGAACUCGAAUUUUGAAAAUGUCAUAAUAAUGUGAAUAACAAUGCAAGACUUUUAAACUUGACAAAAUCAAAAACGAUUACUUUGCAAAACAUAUCGAAGCUAAACUGUCACAUACCGCUAUCUAUUGAAGCUAAACUGUCACAUACCGCUAUUUAUCGAAGCUAAACUGUCACAUACCGCUAUAUUAAACGAAUAGUUUUUGUUAAAGCUGUACAGAACGUGAGUGAGAGAAGAAAAAUGAAAAUGCCGUGCAUCAUUUGUUUUAUUACAUCAAACACCCGAAGUUGGUUUUCCAUAAACAAUUAAUGCACGUGAAUUCUCACACGCCACACUUAUAACAUUGAGAGUGUACAGCAUUUCCGCACAUUCAACCAAUAGCCUUAACAGUAAGUGUAGUAAAAUUUCCUCACACGAAACUCAUAAUAAAUAGUUUUAUACAAAAAGCAUGAGUAUAUAAUUGCUCUCAUAUAACUAAAUACAUUUUUCCAAAAGCCUGUAAUUACAAAUAAAUUAACAUACAAUGUACUACUGUUUAUACAGUGCCCUAUCUGGCCAGAUUUGUUAGUUAGUAAACAACGGUUGGUUGUACAGGAUUAAGAGUCCUAAGGAUUUGCCUGCAUGCAUGUUGUGUAUGCGUACAUGUGUGCAUUUGUGCCGGGGACAGGGUACAUGUUGGUGUAGUUGCCUACUUGUGAUAGCACGGAUCUGAUGCCGACUUUAUAGUGUUACCCAACUGAAGGCACACUGCACUGUAUUCCGCCAGAUCACAUUAUACUGAUAACGGGUGAACCAGUUGUUGCCAUUUCCUUAAAUGCUAUCAAUUAAUCAGGGAAUAGCAAAUACCAUUAUUUAGAACUGGGGAGAGAACCCAUUGCCUUACUCACCUGGGGAAACGUUCAACAUUAAAGCCAAAAGUGAGGUAUUGUCAAGCAAUACGCUAGAAAAUAAAAGGUAGAAAGAAAUAUAAGAUCCGAAACAUUGCAUUGGGUGCGGCAGACAUAUUUUGGUCGUUAUGGUGUCCCCAAGUAAAGGGCACGAAAGCAAAUCCCCAAUUCUGCAGGGGGUUCCAGCAUAAGUAUAAGUCGCCUCUUACAAUCAUGCAGCGGGUUACUGUAUGUGCAUUCUUUUCACGAUCUUCGACCGGCAUGCGUGCCCAACAACGGUUAAGUCGUCCAGGGCCCGAUAACAAUAAUCAGGGCCACUUACAAAGCCUUUAACACUAAAUUAAAUGAUUACAAAACUCGUUCAUGUACAGGGGUGAAGGUAAGGGAAUUUCCACCUAAGGGUUUUCAUAUUGGGUAAAACCCGAGCUACCGAGGGUUCUACAACACUUUGAAAAUCCCUGUGGUGGGAUUCCGUAUCCUACAUCACUUGGCAUUAAAACGUAAAUUUCUCUCAAUCCAAUCUCUAAAAUCAACUCGAAAUCCCCAAAACAACGUUGCAGUAUCAGCAUUGCAGCCAAGAAAUGUUCCGAUUUGUGUGUCUUCACUCAAAAAAGGUUACAAACUGCACUCCCAAGUCCACAGCAAAAUUGUCAUGUAAAAUUAUAUAUCCCCCCCCCCAUUUAAAUUUAAAAUUUAGUGAUGCAGGCAAUCUUUUCGUAGAUAUUCGAAAAUCUUUGACAAAUAAUUUGACCAAUGUUUUUAUAACAAACUCAUCUUUUCUCGAAUAUGUCUAAAAUCAGCACAUUCGAUCAAUGUGAGAGGCACAGUCAUAAUUAUGUUCGACACAUGAAUGGUAAAAUACGGAUCCUCUCGCCGAACCUAGUACCCAUUAGUACAAUGUGUUUGUCGUGUCCGAUGUCGUCCUUCCUCAAGUCUUAUGGGGAUGUUUGAGCCAGAACAAACCACGAUAGAGCCAUACAAACAUUGCAAAAUAUCGAUCAUUUAAGGCUCAAACUUAUGUAAAACUUUGAAUCAUAUUGGUAACGGAAGAACUACCAUCGUAAACACGCAUUUCAUUCAUUUUGUCCCUCAUUCAUGGUAAAUCCGUCAUUCUUUACAAACAGAUAAUUUGCAUGUCUUAAUUAUUCAUGAAAAUAAAUCCCUCGUCGCAAUACUGAAAUAGGGAGACGAUCGUACAAACAAAGCAUUAUGCACAAAUAAUCACAAUUAUACCAUUAAAUAUCUCUGUUAAAGGGCCAGUCUCAUUAGUCUAACGCAUUACCUCUGUAAAGGGAUCUGUCUUAGUAAUAGAAUAUGGCAACUUUGUUGAGAUGUCUGUCUGUAAUAAUCUAAUAGGGUAACUCUGUUGAGGUGUCUUCUUCAGUGAGCAUUGGCUUAGUAAACUGAAACGUGUUUCGCCUAAGAAAGUCAAUACGAUUUUGUAUCGAUUGCACAUAUUCUCUCAUGUUAUCUUUUGCAAGUUCGAGAGCUCGUUCAGCAUAUCUUAAGGCAUCCUGUGGAAGACUUUUCCUAAACAUGCGAUCGCAAUUUGCAAUGCUGAAAUACAUUUCGAGAAUAGGACAAAAGAUAGAAUUCGACUCUUCAUACCGUUUCAUAAUGUCAUCUGCCACUUUUGCGUCUUUCUUCUGAAGAGAUAUUUUGCGGCCCAUGCUUAGUCCGUUGCAACCACAUCGCAACAGUAACACCACUAGCUGGAACUUUACAUAUGCAGCACCGUAUGUUCUGUCGUGACCUUUGUCCUCAUUGAAAUGUUGUAGAGAUCGGUUGUAACUUCUCAAAGUUCGUUCUCGUAUUAUCUCUUCUGGCUGGCUUUCUCCUUCAUUUUUAUCGGUGAUUAAGUCAAGUUGUAACGCAUUACUUCUGCCCUCGUUGUAGUAAACCCAAGCUGCACCUCUUCCAGUGCAAUGUAAAGGGUUUGACUCAACAAUCAUUAUUCCUUCGUCGUUUAUGUCUUUAAAUUUACCAAACCUCCUCUGCAAGAUAUACCGGCGUGUUAGUGGAGAUAAUAAUAGUAGCUGUGAAUACAUAGGAUCUUUCGUUUUUGGCACAAGGCUCUUUGAGAGAGCAAGCAAGUUUUCUUCUGAAGUACAGUCUAAUUUUUGCUGUGCAAACAAAAUUUGCAUAUAUGCUACAGUAAACAAUGUAUCAGCACAAUCAUGCCUAUCUGCUUUUAGUUUUUCACAUUCUACUGCGAACUGAAUAUGCUGUCCAUUGUUGUACAUGUCAGCCAGCUUAUCGAAUGCUUUCUCCACAUAUUUGAUAUGUUUUCGUUCUGAUGAUAAUGGUUUGGGUACAACUGUCAUCGCGGCAAGUCGUUUGGUCUCUUUUCUCAUUCGUUUAUACUGCUUACUUGCUUGUGAUUUUCUCGGUCGUUUAUACGGCUCAUCUCCCCGUGUUUUUCGCCGUUUUCGUGGUGAUCCUGUCCUAUAUAUUUGAGUUCCUUUGAGUUGGUUUGAUAAUUCAGACAAUUCUGGUUUACUUGCGACAGCUUCUUUAAACAAAGAAAAUGCCUUUUCUCCCCGCGUUUUUAUGUAUUCCAGUAGUUGUCGCCUCCUGUCGUUCCGUGGUAUGUUUGUGUCAUCAUUAAGUGUACCAUGCUCAUCAAGUGUUAUUACUUCCUGUUCGUACAGAAAGUCAAUGAUCAGUCGAGGCUCAAGGCUUUUAAUCAAGUCUGAUUCCAUGGUGUCUUCAUUUUCUGAAGUGGAAAGCGGUGGUACGUACACUCCUGUUGAUGUUCAGCAUCACACCAGUAAUGGAGCGGGGGAAGCGCGUCUCCUUGUUUUGAUGCACAGCAUUCCACCAGCUAGGUGCAAGAUACCAGAGUAUGAAAACGACACUUACAUCGUCCAGAACGAAGGACAUCGUCAGCUUAUAGAUAUACACAUACCACCCCCUACUGAUACGAGUCUUAGAUACGAUCAAUGUCAUCUGUACUCUUAUAACUCGACCACUGUCAAGUUGGAUAAUUCUAGUCAGCCUAUCAUUGGCUACAAAAGUGCAUGUAGCGAGUGGGUCUAUAGCUAUGAUGUCUUCAGGGAAACAUUCACAUCGAAGCAUAAUCUUGUGUGUGACAACGGGUACCAAACGGCAUUGGCCAAAUCACUUUAUUUUGUUGGUGUGUUUGUCGGAGGUAUCAUUUUCGGCAAUUUGUCAGAUGCAUAUGGAAGAAAGACGAGUUUCUGCAUGGCCGUGAUAUCACUACUGAUUAGUACAGUUGCUUUGACAUUGUCUCCAUUUUACACAUUUUUCGCAGUGUGUAACAUCAUAGUAGGAGCGUCUACCGAGGGUAUAUACAUCACAGGAUAUGUGUUAGGACUAGAACUUGUGGGGCCUUCAAAGAGAGCAAUAGCCGGAACCUGUACCUGCUACUUCUUCGCUCUAGGUUUUGUAAUCGUUUCCAUGAUUGCGUACUUUGUUCGUCACUGGAGAUAUACCGGAAUUAUAUGUGCUGCUCCUGUAGCACUUAUCCUAUCCUACUGGUGGCUGCUUCAGGAAUCACCCCGAUGGCUGAUAUCCCGUGGACGAUACAGAGAGGCUGAAGUUAUCCUCAGAAAGAUUGCAAAAGUAAAUAAUUCAACCGUGGAUGAUACAUUUUUUGAGCAAUUAAACUAUGACAACAUCAUUCCCAUCCAGGCUAAGAAAAAGGAAUCAAUACUUUGGCACCUGUUUUCGUCACGCGUGCUGUUGAUGAGGACAUUAUUAAUUCUUUACAAUUGGUGUGCCCUUGGAAUGGUAUACUAUGGGUUAUCGCUCAACUCUGGAAAUCUCGGGGGAAACUUUUACCUGAAUUUCUGUGUAUCCGGUUUGAUGGAGUUUCCAGCUUACACUAUGACAGUAUUAUUACUGGACAGACUCGGGAGGAAAUGGCUUCACUGUCUGUGUAUGGUACUUGGAGGAGCGGCGUGCCUCUCUACCGUUUUUACUAUACUGUACCUGGAGGACAAGUACCAGUAUAUAACUAUAGUCCUAGCUAUGCUAGGAAAGCUUGGCAUUUCGGCAGCUUUCGCAGUUAUUUUCAUCUAUUCUGCCGAGUUGUUCCCAACAGUAGUAAGAAAUUCCGGACUAGGCGUUUGCUCAUGCGUCGCCCGAUUGGGUUCUAUGGCGGCGCCAUACAUAGUACAAUGGGGGAACGAUAUUGGUGGUAGGCUUGGAAAAGCAUUUCCAUUGGCGGUCUUCAGUGGACUGACCAUCGUAGCAGGUGUUCUUACUCUACAUUUACCAGAAACCCUAGGUCAGGAGCUACCGGAAACGAUAGCUGACGCCAAAUCGUUUGGGACAUCGUCGAUCAAAAGAAAAUCCAAAUCUGACGCCGGCCUGGAUUCUGGCCAAGCAACAAUAACUGAAGCUUUUGUAGAUAACGAAGAAAACCGUCACAUAUAAACACAUGACGGCUCCUGAGACAAAAACAUUAAGAAAAAAAGAAAAUUUACAGAACCAAAUUAUCUUCUCCAGUAUAGCAAUAUUUUGCUUGGGUGUUUCCUUUAUUCCGGUCGGCUUUCCGUACCGACUACGAGUUGGGAUUUUGUGCUGGUGUAUUGACGAUGUGCUGUGCUUUCUGUUUCACGUGUGACUUAAUACAGACUGUAAAUUUAGCAAAUUAGUAAAUAUCAAUGUUACUCGUUCAGUCAUAAAGCAAUCACAAUCACAGCAGAAAUGUUGUUUUGAUGCCUAUUUUCCAAUCUUGAAUUGAAUGAAAGUUUAUGAUUGCUAAUUUAGACUAGUUGCACCAUGUAUCCCAACAGACAAUGUCAUUUUGUUCAUAGUAGCAAGAUUCAGCUGUCAAAUUCUUAUCGUUGAUGUUCUUACAACCUCUCGCGAUUGUACAUAGGUCACACGUACAGAACACACGCCUAAUUUUCUAUUUACUGUUGCUGUCUUGUGAAAACUCUCCAUAACUUCCUUGAGACGUAUACAGCCCGAUAAUCUAAAGUAGUAUAAUGACCUAGAUUUUAACCUAGUGUAGCUCGAUUUCUGUGACAGCAUGGUAGAUAGACCUGGGACAAAAGGUAUUCUAGUAACCUUAGGUAGUCCAGAGACAAAAGGAAUUCUAGCUACCUUAGGUAGUCCGGAAACAAAAGGAAGUGUAUUUACCUUAGGUAGUCCAGAGACAAAAGGUAGUGUAGUUACCUUUGGUAGUCCAGAGACAAAAGGUAGUGUAGUUAUCUUUGGUAGUCCAAAGACAAAAGGUAGUGCAGUUACCUUUGGUAGUCCAGAGUCAAAAGGUAGUGCAGUUACCUUUGGUAGUCCAGAGACAAAAGGUAGUGUAGUUACCUUUGGUAGUCUAGAGACAAAAGGUAAUACAGUUACCUUUGGUAGUCCAGUGACAAAAGGUAGUGUAGUUAUCUUUGGUAGUCCAAAGACAAAAGGUAGUGCAGUUACCUUUGGUAGUCCAGAGUCAAAAGGUAGUGCAGUUACCUUUGGUAGUCCAGAGACAAAAGGUAGUGUAGUUACCUUUGGUAGUCCAGAGACAAAAGGUGGUGCAGUUACCUUUGGUAGUCCAGAGUCAAAAGGUAGUGCAGUUACCCUUGGUAGUCCAGAGACAAAAUGUAGUGUAGUUACCUUUGGUAGUCCAGAGACAAAAGGUAGUGCAGUUACCUUUGGUAGUCCAGAGAAGAAAGGUAGUGUAGUUACCUUAGGCAGACCUGAGACAAAAGGAAGUGUAGUUACCUUUGGUAGUCCAGAGACAAAAGGUAGUGAAGUUACUUUUGGUACUCCAGAGACAAAAGGUAGUGAAGUUACCUUUGGUAGUCCAGAGACAAAAGGUAGUGUAGUUACUUUUGGUAGUCCGGAGACAAAAGGUAGUGUAGUUACCUUAGGUAGACCUGAGACAAAAGGUAGUGUAGUUACCUUAGGUAGUCCAGAAACAAAAGGUAGUGCAGUAACCUUAAGUAGUCCGGAGACAAAAGGUAGUGUAGUUACCUUUGGUAGUUCAGAGACAAAAGGUAGUGUAGUUACCUUAAGUAGUCCAGAGACAGAAGGUAGUCUAGUUACCUUAGGUAGUCCAGAGACAAAAGGUAGUGUAGUUACCUUAGGUAGUUCAGAGACAAAAGGUAGUCUAGUUACCUUUGGUAGUCCGGAGACCUAUGUUAGCUCGUGACGAAGGGCAGUCAGGUUAUCUAAUCUUGCUCAAUGGAUAACAUAAGCUAGGCUCCCUUAGGAAGUUGGCAACUGUCAGUUUUGGUGAUCUUUAGAAGCUCAAUUGUCAUUGUUACCUCUAGAACUUUUGGCUACAGUUGGUUUACCUCGCUAACUUAGGUAAAUUUAAUCUUACGGGAGACAAACGCCCUUUGUUUUAAUAGAGACGAAUCCUGUGAGCAUGCAGCUCUGCAUGUACAAUUAAUGCUGAUGUACUUGUCUAUCAUACGUAUGUGUGGUACUUAGAGGACGGCGAAGUGUUAAGUAAACGUGCAUCAGAAGUUCGUAUGGUCCAAAGAGAACGGUGAAGUGUUAGCUUAACGUGUAUCAGAUGUUUGUAUGUCACAAAGAGAUCGGAGAAGUGUUAGAUUAACGUGUAUCAGAUGUUUGUAUGUCAAAAAGAGAACGGUGCAGUGUUAGCUUAACGUGUAUCAGAUGUUUGUAUGUCACAAAGAGAUCGGAGAAGUGUUAGAUUAACGUGUAUCAGAUGUUUGUAUGGCACAAAGAGAUCAUUUAAGUGUUAGCUUAACGUGUAUCAGAUGUUUGUAUGUCAAAAAGAGAACGGUGCAGUGUUAGCUUAACGUGUAUCAGAUGUUUGUAUGGCACAAAGAGAUCGGUGAAGUGUUAAGUAAACGUGUAUCAGAUGUUUGUAUGGCACAAAGAGAUCAUUUAAGUGUUAGCUUAACGUGUAUCAGAUGUUUGUAUGUCAAAAAGAGAACGGUGAAGUGUUAGCUUAACGUGUAUCAGAUGUUUGUAUGUCACAAAGAGAUCGGUGAAGUGUUAGCUUAACGUGUAUCAGAUGCUUGUAUGUCACAAAGAGAUCGGUGAAGUGUUAAGUAAACGUGUAUCAGAUGUUUGUAUGGCACAAAGAGAUCAUUUAAGUGUUAGCUUAACGUGUAUCAGAUGUUUGUAUGUCACAAAGAGAUCGGAGAAGUGUUAGAUUAACGUGUAUCAGAUGUUUGUAUGGCACAAAGAGAUCGGUGAAGUGUUAAGUAAACGUGUAUCAGAUGUUUGUAUGGCACAAAGAGAUCGGUGAAGUGUUAGCUUAACGUGUAUCAGAUGCUUGUAUGUCACAAAGAGAUCGGUGAAGUGUUAAGUAAACGUGUAUCAGAUGUUUGUAUGGCACAAAGAGAUCGGUGAAGUGUUAGAAGAGUCUUUGACUCAAAGGGUUUAUCGACCUGAAAUAAAAUCUUUUAUUAUUCUUAUUAUUAUUAGAAAGAUAAUUGUGUAGUGUUAAUUGAACGUGUAUCAGUAGUUUGUUUGUUAGAAAGAGAAUAGUUUAGCGUUAAUUAAACGUGUAUCAGAAGUUUGUUUGUUAGAAAGAGAAUGGUUUAGUGUUAAUCAAACGUGUAUCAGUAGUUUGUUUGUUAGAAAGAGAAUGGUUUAGUGUUAAUUAAACGUGUAUCAGUAGUUAGUUUGUUAGAAAGAGAAUGGUUUAGUGUUAAUCAAACGUGUAUCAGAAGUUUGUAUGCUAGAACAUUGUGUGGUGUUAACUAUACACUUGAAACAGGACUGAUAAAAUCAAUUGUUCAAUCAUCCAUUUACAAAUCUUAAUUGAGUUUGUAUAUAUGUAAUGAAUUAAAACUCAUCGAAUUGCAA
Molecule: unclassified non-coding RNA, 8855 nt
Filed under: Mizuhopecten yessoensis (Yesso scallop)
Lineage: Eukaryota; Metazoa; Mollusca; Bivalvia; Pectinida; Pectinidae
Description: organic cation transporter protein-like, transcript variant X3
Source: RNAcentral